CCUACGGGAGGCAGCAGUGAGGAAUAUUGGUCAAUGGCCGGAAGGCUGAACCAGCCAUGCCGCGUGAAGGUCAGUGCCCUAUGGGCGUUAAACUUCUUCUGUGCGGGAGCAAUAAUGGUCACGUGUGGCCAGACGAGAGUACCGUACGAAUAAGCAUCGGCUAACUCCGUGCCAGCAGCCGCGGUAAUACGGGGGAUGCAAGCGUUAUCCGGAUUUAUUGGGUUUAAAGGGUGCGUAGGCUGUGAGGUAAGUCAGCGGUGAAAUGCCCCCGCUCAACGGGGUGAAGUGCCAUUGAUACUGCCUGGCUGGAAUGCGGAUGCCGUGGGAGGAAUGUGUGGUGUAGCGGUGAAAUGCAUAGAUAUCACACAGAACACCGAUUGCGAAGGCAUCUCACGAAUCCGCGAUUGACGCUGAUGCACGAAAGCGUGGGUAUCAAACAGGAUUAGAUACCCGAGUAGUC
This 460-nucleotide ribosomal RNA is filed under the name uncultured bacterium. RNAcentral describes it as "partial 16S ribosomal RNA". It matches the Rfam family "Bacterial small subunit ribosomal RNA", at positions 338 to 795 of the family's 1533-position model. The record is from RNAcentral.